UACGGAGGGGGCUAGCGUUGUUCGGAAUUACUGGGCGUAAAGGGCGCGCAGGCGGCUCGACAAGUCAGAUGUGAAAGCCCCGGGCUCAACCUGGGAACGGCAUUUGGGACUGUCGGGCUAGAGUUCGGGAGAGGUGGGUGGAAUUCCCAGUGUAGAGGUGAAAUUCGUAGAUAUUGGGAAGAACACCGGUGGCGAAGGCGGCGACCUGGUCCGAUACUGACGCUGAGGCGCGAAAGCGUGGGGAGCAAACAGG
This 253-nucleotide ribosomal RNA is filed under the name uncultured bacterium. Its description in RNAcentral is "partial 16S ribosomal RNA". It matches the Rfam family "Bacterial small subunit ribosomal RNA", at positions 524 to 776 of the family's 1533-position model. The record is from RNAcentral.